CAGCAGCCGCGGUAAUACGUAGGGUGCGAGCGUUAAUCGGAAUUACUGGGCGUAAAGCGUGCGCAGGCGGUUUUGUAAGACAGGCGUGAAAUCCCCGGGCUCAACCUGGGAAUGGCGCUUGUGACUGCAAAGCUAGAGUGCGGCAGAGGGGGAUGGAAUUCCGCGUGUAGCAGUGAAAUGCGUAGAUAUGCGGAGGAACACCGAUGGCGAAGGCAAUCCCCUGGGCCUGCACUGACGCUCAUGCACGAAAGCGUGGGGAGCAAACAGGAUUAGAUACCCGUGUAGUCCCUGUCUCUUAUAU
RNAcentral lists this ribosomal RNA (301 nucleotides) under uncultured bacterium. RNAcentral describes it as "partial 16S ribosomal RNA". It matches the Rfam family "Bacterial small subunit ribosomal RNA", at positions 509 to 809 of the family's 1533-position model. The record is from RNAcentral.